This 3676-nucleotide long non-coding RNA is filed under the name Sus scrofa (pig). RNAcentral describes it as "lncRNA (ENSSSCG00000060845.1)". Lineage: Eukaryota; Metazoa; Chordata; Mammalia; Artiodactyla; Suidae. The record is from RNAcentral.
AUUCUCCGCGGCGCCGAGGCGAGUGCCGACUGCGGUGCCUGUCCGCCAGCUUGUUCGCUCGCUCGCCCGCCGGCGCGCGGGCUGUGUGACGGAUCGCUGGGGAACGGGCUGGCAGCUCUACCCCCUGCAACAGCUCUUCGGUUUUUUCCUUGACCGCCUUCCUUGUUGAGUCGCGAUUCCCUGGGAGCAGGAGACACGCACCAGGGGCUCGGAGCGCCGCACUCCAGGGCUGGGGCAGCUGCAGCGCUCGGGACUGCGCGGCCGGGUGCAGCCUCUGUCGCUGUCGCCGCCGCCGCGCGGUGCGCCUUGGCGAGUGUUGGGCUCCGGGCAUCUCGGAGCCCAGGCAGCUGGUGCAGAGCGCCAGCGCCUCUCCCCGCACUGGCCGCCGCCGGGGCAGUGCGGAGCCAGCCAGGCUGUGCACAGCCGGAGCGCGGGUCCCCCCGAAGAAGGCUCCCUAUCGCCUGCGUCCCAGUAAGUUGACUGUAGUUUCUGAAGUUGGAGAGCGCCGUGGGAAGGGGAGGUUCGCUUUUACUAUCUUCACGCCGUGGGAAGCCGGGGGUGGCCCCUCUUGUUAGCAGGGUUCCAGCUUGGGGAGUUCAGGGUGCGAAGCCGUGGACAGAGCGCGCGGGGAGAGGCAGCGGUGCAGCGCGGGCUGGCUCCAGCCUUUGCUGAACGUGCCAGUUGGAAAUGUGCUGUGAGAGGACAGGUGCUCCGAGGGCAUUUCGCCUGCUGCUGAUUGCACAUUCCGACCCCAUUGAAUGUGUGUGUGUGUGUGUGUGUGUGUGUGUGUGUGAGAGAGAGAGCGUGCGGGGUGGGGGGGGGCGGUUCUUGUCACCUCCAUCCCAGGUCCCCAGGGGAGUGACUCCAGUAAUAUUCCUGGGUGCAUUCGCUCUUUGGGGAUGGGAGCUAAGUCAUUCCUUCUCAGGCUUCCAGGCUUCCAGGCUUCCAGGCUUCCCGGCUUCCCGCGCACAUCCCACUUUACUCUUCCCCCUAGGCAGAAGUUGCCACCGUUUCCGUAAUUGGAGCCCAAUCCUUCAAGGAAAAACAACUUAUAUAUCAACCCAGACUUUUGCGCCAUAAGGCAGAUAAAAUGAGAAAUCGGCGCAGUGUAUGUGAUUUCAUACACUGUAAGGAUGUGGGCAAGUCUCAAAGCAGUGGAAUUGAGAUGAUGACACUUGGGUCUCACCCUGACUGUCCUGCACCUCUUAUGUAAGCCUCUCGGCAGGAUAACUGUGACUCUCUGCAGUGGCUGCAGCUGUGGCUCUUCAUUCCAUUUGUUUAAAGUCCAGCUUGAAUGUAUUUAAUGAAAAUGCUGACAUGAUAUAGCGCCCUGUAGUCUGAAACAGAGUGCACUCUUCGGAUUGGAGUGUCUUCUCCUAAUAGGGAGCGUUCGAGGAAAAACCCAGUAUAUUUUUCAAGGCAGCUCCAGGAAUUAGACACAUAAAUCAUGUUUUAAAAUAGCAGGCAUUGUGCAGGGAGCUUGCAGAGGACCCUUUGAACACAUCCCUUUUGUUUUAGAAAAAGUGGAAAUUGUUCAUACCAGGCAGUUGUUGAGUCUGAAAGUUAAGUGUUCUGAUGGGCUUAAUUAUCUUAAUAAACAAAGAGCAUGAUUUAUAGGUAGCUGCCCUGGCCUUCUUUGAAGGAUAGAAUUCUUUAACCUUUCUCUCUCAUCUGUCCCCCAGAGAUUUCUUUUAAGCAGAACAAUAGAUUAUCAUCACUGAUGUUUAAUAUUGGAGUUGAUUAAAUUUGUACAAGGAAUACUUUGAAAUACCACGAGGUACUGCUGUGACUGUUAAGACAGAGAAUAUUAGAAAUAAGGAGACUUCAGGUUUUUUUUGGUAUGGAAGUCAUUAGUUUAACAAAACAAAUAACAUUAAGACUGGCCUAAUAUAUCUUUUUAAAAAUUUGGACUUGUAAUAAACGUUGAAACCAAAAACUCAGGGUUGUGUUUUAGUGUAAGGUUUAUUUACGUAAUCUCGACAAAAAGAAGCACAUUUAUUUAUGGUAUUCUAGCACAUGGAACAAGAUGAACUAGUUAGAGGCACCUCAUUUAAAAACAUAUCAUCGUUUUUUAAGGAAGUCUAAGAAAAUACACAAAAUGUUAUUUCAAAAGUUGCAAAGUUAGUCAACACAUUAUAAUUGAUGAGAGCAUCUGCUGCUUAUCUCUAGAAGGGAUUAUAUCUGAGCAUGGAAGCUGAAACAAGUGGACCCCCAUAUGCACUCCUUCAUCAUGGUUCUGAGGACAGACUGGGGAGCCAUGCCGAUGGCUCUGGUGCCAUCUGUUUGAAUCUGGACAAGUUACUUAAACUUUGUGCCUCAGUGUCUUCAUCUGUAAAAUGAGGCUAAUGGUACCUCCAUCACUGGCUUGUGGUGAGGAUUGAGUUCAUAGAGGUAAUGCCACUGAACCAGUGUCUGGCUUAUUAAACUGGGUAAAAAUGAUCACUGUUAAGAAAGGAAGAGUGUCUUUGGAUCCUGCAGCCAUCAAAUGGUUGCUGAAGAAGGCUAACAGAAGCAGUUCAUAUGUUUAAUAGGAGAGCAGGUACAUUUAUUCAACACCUCCUGGUAAUGCAGACACCAGCUGGCAUCUGACUUACUCUCCCUUUUAAUUCCUCACCGAGGUAGGUGGCUUCAUGGCCACUCUGGAGAUGAGGAAACUGGAGCUCAGCAAGAUCAAAUAGGAGAAAUCGCAGCUCAAAUUUUAACCCAGGUCUGUCUCUUUCCAAUCCUGUCCUUUUUGGCCCAAGUUGAGGACUUGCGCAGUGCUUUUUCCAUCUCUUCUCCUUUCAUCCUCAUAAUAACAUAAUUAAAUAUGUGCAUCCUUAUCUUGAACUUACAGAUGAGGAAAUUUGCGUUGAGCAGUAAAGAAUGCAAAGUGCUUAACUCACAGCAGAGUUCUCCAUGACUUGGAGGGAUUAUUAUUGUCAUAAUUAGCACGGGGUAGAGGUGCCAGCAGGUGGAGUUUUCUUCUUUGGUUUGAGGUGGAUUUCAUUGCUAAGUACUUCCCUAUUUAUCGAUUCAGAGAAAAAGAAAAUGGGAUGUUACAGGUCCCCCUGGAGGACCGCAGUCCCAGGUGUGUUUCCUGGCUGCAGAUCUAGCUGUGGCGUCCCCACGGCCUGGCGAACCGCAGGCAGGUCAUUGAUCCACAGUUACUGUCAUCUCUGGGCGUGUUCGGUCGCAGCUGGGCAGAGAGAGAGAGAGGCCUGGCACUUUGCUACACGUUGUACUGUAUGUUCAGAAAUGGAAGUAAUUUCUCUUUCAUAGUAGAGAAGCGGGCUUCCUUUCGGCCUUAGUACCAGUGUGGUGGGGAGGCAGUUUCAGGGGUCCUGUGUGAGCAGUACAGUUGACCCUCCAUAUUCUCAGGUUCCACAUCAUCUGUGGAUUCAGCUAACUGUGGAUUGAAAAUAUUUUUUAAAAAUUCCAGGAGUUCCCGUCGUGGCGCAGUGGUUAACGAAUCCGACUAGGAACCAUGAGGUUGCGGGUUCGGUCCCUGCCCUUGCUCAGUGGGUUAACGAUCCGGCGUUGCCGUGAGCUGUGGUGUAGGUUGCAGACGCGGCUCGGAUCCCGCGUUGCUGUGGCUCUGGCGUAGGCCGGUGGCUACAGCUCCGAUUCAACCCCUAGCCUGGGAACCUCCAUAUGCCGCGGGAGCGGCCCAAAGAAAUAGCAACAACAACAACAA